AAAUUACUUGCUUAAAAUUAUGUAAUCUAGGAACCCUUGCUUUAAGUCAUUCAUAUAUUCUGAUAUUCAUUUCUAUAGCAUUUAAUAAAUAAUUGAAAUCUGUAUCUUCUCUACCUUGUGGUUUUUUAUACCUUAGUGAGUUUCAACCAUAAUUAUAUACUCUCAGGGUUUCAUGAUUUAUUUUUGUAACACUUAAAAAAGACCUGUGUUUGCUAUGACUAUUAUGAACAUGUCUUAAAAUAAUUUGUAAAUUCAGUUGCAGUACAAUGUAUAACUGUACUUUUCAUUAGAAGUUUUACAGAGACUGUUUAUUGAAUGAAUAUAGCAUGAUGUGAGCUACCAUGUAAAUGUUGCACAAAAUGUGAAUCAAUUGUGUGUUGUUGAAGUAUUGUGUAUGAUUGUUCUAUGAUAUUAUUAUAAGUGUGCGCAUAUGUUUUAUAGAAUAAAUCUUAUACAUUAUCUUAAUAUGAUUUUGUCUAAUUGGCAGAAAAUUGCCCAAUAUGCAAA
RNAcentral lists this long non-coding RNA (507 nucleotides) under Mytilus galloprovincialis (Mediterranean mussel). Lineage: Eukaryota; Metazoa; Mollusca; Bivalvia; Mytilida; Mytilidae. The record is from RNAcentral.